UCAUCAUGUAUAAAAUGGUGCAGUAGGAUGCAAAAUUUCCACUUGUUUAUAAGUGUAUCGCCGAGAAAUGUAUAAAAUAAUCGAGACCGGCGGAGGCAGGUCAGAGCCGUCUGGAAUGCGCGCACCUUCAACCACUUUGGGAGGCCAAGGCAGGUGGAUCACCUCAGGUCAGGAGUUCGAGACCAGCGUGACCAACAUGGUGAAACCCGUCUCUACUAAAAAUACAAAAAAUUAGCUGGGUAUGGUGGUGCAUGCCUGUAUGCUACUCGGGAGGCUGAGGCAGGAGAACCUUGGAGGCAAAGGUUGCAGUGAGCUGAGAUCGAGCCACUGCACUCCAGCCUGGGCGACAGCGCAAAACUUUGUCUCAAAAAAAAAAAAAGUCCGCAGUAUGGUUUUCACAUUAUCACUCUCAAUGCCAUUGGAGGUAGGUCCAAGCUGGUGUCUCUUUGAUUAGUCUCCCUAAUCCCAUCUAUUCAUUUACUAGCCAUUAGUUAUUCUUUAAUUGAAUCCAAAAAUGUUUGUGAGGAGAUAGUCCCAUAUGAGAUUAAAAGAAAGAAAGAAAAACAAAACAACAAACAAACAAACAAAACAGAAAAUCAGGUGUAGUGGACACUGAAGAGUUUCUG
This 626-nucleotide long non-coding RNA is filed under the name Pan troglodytes (chimpanzee). Its description in RNAcentral is "lincRNA". The record is from RNAcentral. Lineage: Eukaryota; Metazoa; Chordata; Mammalia; Primates; Hominidae.